UACGUAGGGUGCGAGUGUUGUCCGGAAUUACUGGGCGUAAAGAGCUCGUAGGUGGUUUGUCACGUCGUCUGUGAAAUUCCGGGGCUUAACCUCGGGCGUGCAGGCGAUACGGGCAAUACUUGAGUGCUGUAGGGGAGACUGGAAUUCCUGGUGUAGCGGUGAAAUGCGCAGAUAUCAGGAGGAACACCGAUGGCGAAGGCAGGUCUCUGGGCAGUAACUGACGCUGAGGAGCGAAAGCAUGGGUAGCGAACAGGAUUAGA
This 260-nucleotide ribosomal RNA is filed under the name uncultured prokaryote. RNAcentral's name for it is "partial 16S ribosomal RNA". It matches the Rfam family "Bacterial small subunit ribosomal RNA", at positions 524 to 782 of the family's 1533-position model. The record is from RNAcentral.